UUUUUAGGUUUAUGAAUAUUGGCGUUGUGUCUCCAAAACAUUCAGAAUUAUACAGAACUAUUAUUUGGUUGACUCUAUAAAAGAUUUUUGGGAGAAGAAGAGAGCUGCCAUCAUUGACUGCCUGCAUGUAAAGGAAAGUGUUGUUGCACUUGCUGAUGGAAGGAUGGACUCUCCAGGCCACACUGCCCAGUUCUGCACUUAUACGACCAUGGAGAAUGACUCCAAGGACAUAAUAAGUGUUGUCACUGUUGACAAACGACAAACCAAUCGCAAGUGUCACAGAUGCGCACAUGCAGAUUUCUGCACUGUUGGAUCCAAGAAAAGGAAGAUACAAAGAGAAAGCUAUAAUACAUUCCUUGGAUGUCUGGCAUGCAGCCAAAAAUCUGACCAAGAAACUUCAU
This 401-nucleotide long non-coding RNA is filed under the name Nothobranchius furzeri (turquoise killifish). RNAcentral describes it as "lncRNA (ENSNFUG00015010844.1)". Lineage: Eukaryota; Metazoa; Chordata; Actinopteri; Cyprinodontiformes; Nothobranchiidae. The record is from RNAcentral.